AAAUGUCUACAGCCCAGUCAGCUGCCCGUGAUUUGCAUCACGUUCAUGCGCUCGAGUUUGGAGACGACCAGAAGGCGCCAAAGCGUAUCUUUAGUUUGCAGGUGUACAAUGAAAUUAAACUGGACGUGGAUGCAGGUCAUGAAUUCAUAUCAGCAAGAUAUUGGGGAUCUGCAGCUCAGUGAUCCAUCACCCUCGUAUUUGUGUGUUAGAACAUUACAGCGAGCGGACCAGAGUGUCGCUGGUUUAAAUCCCAAGUCUGAUGGGAAACUAAUUGAGUGUGAUUCUAGCCAAGCUCCAUGGCAACCCUAUAACACCCAGCAGACCUCCACGCCACCACUGUCCCCACCACCCAAUAAUCCCCUCAUGGUCUGUCUCCAUCCUAAAACAAGUGGAGAAGUUCCACAGUGACAGGUUUACAGUCAUCAAAGCACAUAUGUAACCUCUCUACUCUCCAGGGUCUGAGAAUACCUUGUUUUUUUUACAGCCACAGGCAAUAGAGAGCUUAUCUUAAAAAAGGGUAUCUCACAACCUUUAUGUCCAUGUGGACAGUAUCAGAUAUGCAUAAUCUAUAUUAUAUUACCUCCAAUCUACAUUAUAUGACCCUUUGUUUAAACUGUGAUGUUCUUGUCUACUCAUCUUAUGUACUAUGUCAUGUUUUAAUGUUUUGUGUGGAUCCCCAGAAAGUGUAGCUGGUGCUUUAGCCGUAGCUAAUGGGGGAUGCCAAAAUAAAUGUUGUUAGAUUGGGUUGGGUUUGUAGCCAGUAAACAAAGGAUGUGUUUUUGAUUUAGAUUUCUCAGUUUUUCUAGACUGACAAGAUAUUGAGAUGUUGAAAGAGGACGUGGGUCCAUGCAUCCCAACUGUACAGGUAGGAAUAAAGGUGUGUGUUAGUGCAUGGCCAUACUGUAGGGCCUUCAUAACCCUUGAUUUAUUCAACAUGUUGUUGUGUUACAACCUGAAUUCAAAAUGGAUAAAAUUAAGUGUUUCUUUCUCACCCAACUACACAUAAUACCCCAUAAUGAUGAAGUAAAAACAUGUUUUUAGACAUUUUUGCAAAUUUAUUGAAAAUUAAACAUCGAAAUAUCUAUUUUACGUAAGUAUUCACACCCCUGAGUCAAUACUUUGUAGAAGCACCCUUGGCAGUGAUUACAGCUGUGAGUCUUUCUAGGUUAGUCUCUAUGAGCAUUCCACACCUGAAUUGUACAAUAUUUGCACAUUAUUCUGAAACAAAUUCUUAAAACACUGUCAAGUUGGUUGUUGAUCAAUGCUAGACAGCCAUUUGCAAGUCUUGCCAUAGAUUUUCAAAGCUAUAUAAGUCAAAACUGUAACUAGGCCACUCAGGAACAUUCAAUGCCGUCUUGGUAAGAUGUUCCAGUGUAUAUUUUGCCUUGUGUUUUAGGCUAUUGUCCUGCUGAAAGGUGAUUUUCUGUGAAUAACUCUAUUGUUUAUUUUUAUCCUGAAAAACUCCCUAGUCCUUGCCGAUGACAAGCAUACGCAUAACAUGAUCCAUGUGUUGUGUUCUUAAAACAUGAUUCCAAUUUUACAUUAUGUGGUAUUGUGUGUAGGCCAGUGACACCAAAUCUCAAUUUAAUCUAUCCAAAAUGUGUAAAAAGUCAAGGCGUGUGAAUACUUUCUGAAGGCACUGUAUAUUAAGCAGCUCUUUACGGCCAAAUGAGUGGGUCGGUGGGAUUGAGGCCCAGUUCCCCUCAACCCGACCGUGUCCAGCUCCAAUGCAGAUAUAAGAAAGAUGAAAGAUGGGGAGGGAGUGAGAGAGAGGUAAAGAAAGCGAGCGAGAGAGGGUGAGAGGGAAGGAGGGGAGAGAGACAGAGAAUGCCUUUCAAAACCCUCCAUAUGACUGACAGAAAAGUAUGUACGGCAUAGCGUUGGCUGUGAGUAAUGUCACAUCACUAAAUCACGGUACAUCCUAGCAGACGCUCGCCGUGAUGCCGGGGUCGCAAAUUAUCAUGAUGCAUUAUUACACUGAGUGCAACACAGUAUCACGGUGUCUUCCAAAUUACACCUGAGCGAUGAGCUUAUCUUAUUAAUUAAUCAUGCUAAUAUAUACGUCCUCAACCGCAGUUUCGUUUUUUUUCUGAGUCGAAGCAAGCCGUGUAAUAUAACACCCAUUCACCGCAAACCCAGAUGUUAAUUUCUAUAAAGAACAAACAAACAAAAAAUAUCAACUUUAAGUAUCAAGAUUUGUUCUCACCACAAGAUUAAUUAAGAAGUUUGAGGUUUAAUUCUCCCAUGACUAGCAUCUAUUUUCAGUCCUGUGCUCUGGGAGCCACAGCAAUAGAUUUGUCACAGAGCAGAUGUUGUGUAGUGCAGCUUUCUGGGAUGCAAUGUCAGUCAAGGGCUUCUGGUGGGGAGACAGGGGGACAGGUAAGGGGGAAGAGAGGUACAUAUACUGAACACAAAUAUAAAUGCAAAAUGCAACAAUUUCAAUGAUAUUACUGAGUUACAGUUCAUAAGGAAAUCAGUCAAUUUCAAUAAAUUAAUUAGGCCCUAAUUUUAUUUAUUUAUUUCACCUUUAUUUAACCAGGUAGGCAAGUUGAGAACAAGUUCUCAUUUACAAUUGCGACCUGGCCAAGAUAAAGCAAAGCAGUUCGACACAUACAACGACACAGAGUUACACAUGGAGUAAAACAAACAUACAGUCAAUAAUACAGUAUAAACAAGUCUAUAUACGAUGUGAGCAAAUGAGGUGAGAUAAGGGAGGUAAAGGCAAAAAGGCCAUCGUGGCAAAGUAGAUACAAUAUAGCAAGUAAAACACUGGAAUGGUAGAUUUGCAAUGGGAGAAUGUGCAAAGUAGAAAUAAAAAUAAU
Molecule: long non-coding RNA, 2822 nt
Filed under: Oncorhynchus mykiss (rainbow trout)
Lineage: Eukaryota; Metazoa; Chordata; Actinopteri; Salmoniformes; Salmonidae
Description: lncRNA (ENSOMYG00000071777.1)
Source: RNAcentral